GGUCAAGUGAAGAAGCGCAUACGGUGGAUGCCUUGGCAGUCAGAGGCGAUGAAAGACGUGGUAGCCUGCGAAAAGCUUCGGGGAGUCGGCAAACAGACUUUGAUCCGGAGAUGUCUGAAUGGGGGAACCCAGCCAUCAUAAGAUGGUUAUCACACACUGAAUACAUAGGUGUGUGAGGCGAACCAGGGGAACUGAAACAUCUAAGUACCCUGAGGAAAAGAAAUCAACCGAGAUUCCCUUAGUAGUGGCGAGCGAACGGGGACUAGCCCUUAAGCUUCUUUGAUUUUAGCGGAACGCUCUGGAAAGUGCGGCCAUAGUGGGUGAUAGCCCUGUACGCGAAAGGAUCUUAGAAGUGAAAUCGAGUAGGACGGAGCACGAGAAACUUUGUCUGAACAUGGGGGGACCAUCCUCCAAGGCUAAAUACUACUGACUGACCGAUAGUGAACCAGUACCGUGAGGGAAAGGCGAAAAGAACCCCGGAGAGGGGAGUGAAAUAGAACCUGAAACCGUAUGCGUACAAGCAGUGGGAGCCUACUUUGUUAGGUGACUGCGUACCUUUUGUAUAAUGGGUCAGCGACUUAUUUUCAGUGGCGAGCUUAACCGAAUAGGGGAGGCGUAGCGAAAGCGAGUCUUAAUAGGGCGUCUAGUCGCUGGGAAUAGACCCGAAACCGGGCGAUCUAUCCAUGGGCAGGUUGAAGGUUAGGUAACACUGACUGGAGGACCGAACCGACUACCGUUGAAAAGUUAGCGGAUGACCUGUGGAUCGGAGUGAAAGGCUAAUCAAGCUCGGAGAUAGCUGGUUCUCCUCGAAAGCUAUUUAGGUAGCGCCUCGUGUAUCACUGCUGGGGGUAGAGCACUGUUUCGGCUAGGGGGUCAUCCCGACUUACCAAACCGAUGCAAACUCCGAAUACCAGCAAGUGUCAGCACGGGAGACACACGGCGGGUGCUAACGUCCGUCGUGAAAAGGGAAACAACCCAGACCGUCAGCUAAGGUCCCAAAGUCAUGGUUAAGUGGGAAACGAUGUGGGAAGGCUUAGACAGCUAGGAGGUUGGCUUAGAAGCAGCCAUCCUUUAAAGAAAGCGUAAUAGCUCACUAGUCGAGUCGGCCUGCGCGGAAGAUGUAACGGGGCUCAAACCAUGCACCGAAGCUACGGGUUCAACG
This 1162-nucleotide ribosomal RNA is filed under the name Stutzerimonas stutzeri. RNAcentral's name for it is "partial 23S ribosomal RNA". It matches the Rfam family "Bacterial large subunit ribosomal RNA", at positions 1 to 1213 of the family's 2925-position model. Lineage: Bacteria; Pseudomonadati; Pseudomonadota; Gammaproteobacteria; Pseudomonadales; Pseudomonadaceae. The record is from RNAcentral.